UACGGAGGGGGCUAGCGUUGUUCGGAAUUACUGGGCGUAAAGCGCACGUAGGCGGCUUUGUAAGUUAGAGGUGAAAGCCCAGGGCUCAACCCUGGAAUCGCCUUUAAGACUGCAUCGCUUGAAUCAUGGAGAGGUGAGUGGAAUUCCGAGUGUAGAGGUGAAAUUCGUAGAUAUUCGGAAGAACACCAGUGGCGAAGGCGACUCACUGGACAUGUAUUGACGCUGAGGCGCGAAAGCGUGGGGAGCAAACAGG
Molecule: ribosomal RNA, 253 nt
Filed under: uncultured bacterium
Lineage: Bacteria
Description: partial 16S ribosomal RNA
Rfam family: Bacterial small subunit ribosomal RNA
Source: RNAcentral